UACGUAGGGUGCGAGCGUUGUCCGGAAUUAUUGGGCGUAAAGAGCUUGUAGGCGGUUUGUCGCGUCUGCCGUGAAAGCCCAGGGCUUAACCCUGGGUCUGCGGUGGGUACGGGGCAGACUAGAGUGUGGUAGGGGAGACUGGAAUUCCUGGUGUAGCGGUGAAAUGCGCAGAUAUCAGGAGGAACACCGAUGGCGAAGGCAGGUCUCUGGGCCACUACUGACGCUGAGAAGCGAAAGCAUGGGGAGCAAACAGG
This 254-nucleotide ribosomal RNA is filed under the name uncultured bacterium. RNAcentral's name for it is "partial 16S ribosomal RNA". It matches the Rfam family "Bacterial small subunit ribosomal RNA", at positions 524 to 776 of the family's 1533-position model. The record is from RNAcentral.